Paramuricea clavata is the source of this 857-nucleotide non-coding RNA. The record is from the annotation of a GenBank genome assembly. Lineage: Eukaryota; Metazoa; Cnidaria; Anthozoa; Malacalcyonacea; Plexauridae.
CAGUACAGCAUGGUACUGGUAUCUUAAAAGCGACGAGAAUGUAUUACACUGUGAAAAUAUCUUUAUUGUGUAAAUGAAAACGAAUUUGAAUGAAGUAGCAAGAUUAUACACGAUUUAUAAACUCCCAAAAUUGAUCCUAACUGUUAUAUUAGCUAUAUUUGAAAUCAGAUUUCGUAUUUAGUGAGGAAUUGCAUGAAAUGAAAAAGAAGUAAUAAAAAUGGGUUUUUGGCAAAAAAUAGUAGGCACUUCUUAUAGAUUAGGCAUUACUGAUAAUUGAUACUAAUAUAAUUUCAUAAAAUGUAUGGUGGUCGAUUUAAAUUCGCAUUUAGGUUUUAAAUAUAUGCAUGUAUUUUAUUUACUUUAUUCAGAAAAUUAAUUUAUGGCAUUCAAACGACACACAUAAUUGUACUUUGUGAUUAAGUUAGCAUUGAUAUUUUUAAAAAUAACGGGGCAAUCCUCAUUUUAAUAAUUUAAUAGAAAUGUUUUAAAAUUAAUAUAUUUCCAUGAGUGUCUUUCAUCAUUGAACAUUAUUUUUAUAUAACAAAUAUAGUUUUGUAUAAAAUGUGAACUUAUAGAUUAUUAUAGAACAGUGCAUAGAAAUGUUAGAACUGUUUAUUUUCAAAGUAUGAAUGUAACAUAUAUAUAGGGGUAGAUCUUGAACUGGCAUUGGGUUAUUAUUAUUGCAAAAUUGAGCGAUAAAUAUCUUGUUUUAUGGUUGUUGUGUUUUGUUUUACAGCACGUUUACACAUCAGUUACUUCAUUAACUGUUGUUAGUAUUCAGUAGUUAAGCCCCUAAUCCUGUAAAGAGGUCUUUUCAUAUUUUUCACUGGAAAUUUUCUCGAAGCAUGCGCAUGAAG